UACAGAGGGUGCGAGCGUUACUCGGAAUUACUGGGCGUAAAGCGUGCGUAGGUGGUUUGUCGCGUUGUUCGUGAAAACCGGGGGCUUAACCCUCGGCGUGCGGGCGAUACGGGCAGACUUGAGUACUGCAGGGGAGACUGGAAUUCCUGGUGUAGCGGUGGAAUGCGCAGAUAUCAGGAGGAACACCGGUGGCGAAGGCGGGUCUCUGGGCAGUAACUGACGCUGAGGAGCGAAAGCGUGGGGAGCGAACAGG
RNAcentral lists this ribosomal RNA (253 nucleotides) under uncultured bacterium. RNAcentral's name for it is "partial 16S ribosomal RNA". It matches the Rfam family "Bacterial small subunit ribosomal RNA", at positions 524 to 776 of the family's 1533-position model. The record is from RNAcentral.